Molecule: regulatory RNA element, 193 nt
Organism: Desulfosporosinus sp.
Lineage: Bacteria; Bacillati; Bacillota; Clostridia; Eubacteriales; Desulfitobacteriaceae
Rfam family: glycine-GGAnGA riboswitch aptamer
About the family: glycine-GGAnGA riboswitch is a variant of glycine riboswitch that have in common a U69A change. This riboswitch is associate with genes that encode either saccharopine dehydrogenase or amino acid transporters and other genes with not predicted function.
Source: Rfam
UCGGAUGAGACUAGUAGGAGAGAGCUGGGAAAACCAGACGCCGAAGGAGAAAAUCCCUUGAAUCGCCUUUCAAGGGGGGAAACUCUCAGGCAAAGGUACUACUAGAUGACGAUACUCUGGAGAGUUUCUCUUAAAUGAGAACACCAAAGGGGAAGCCGGUUACGGCGAAUCUCUCAGGUUAAAGGACAGAGAA